Molecule: RNA transcript, 1250 nt
Organism: Tarenaya hassleriana
Lineage: Eukaryota; Viridiplantae; Streptophyta; Magnoliopsida; Brassicales; Cleomaceae
Gene name: formyltetrahydrofolate deformylase 2, mitochondrial
Exons: 10
Source: RefSeq, a predicted model, not a curated record
AUAACCGGAUACAGUUAAAAGUACGGACGCCCGUACCCGUAGUUCUGGUGGGUGCGGCGGUGAGUGAAAAGAAACGACGACGGCGAUGAUUCGAAGAGCGUCGUUCGCCUCCGUCUUCUCCGCGAGAGCUUUUGAACUGUUGAAGAAUCGCUCUUUCAAAUCCUCUGGAUUUCACGGGGAGUCCCUCGAUUCCUCUCUCUCCCCCAUUCUCAUCCCCGGAAUCCACGUCUUCCAUUGCCCGGAUUCGGUUGGAAUUGUGGCGAAAUUAUCAGAUUGUAUUGCAGCAAACGGCGGAAACAUUCUCGGUUACGAUGUUUUUGUACCCGAAAACAAGAAUAUCUUCUACUCUAGGAGUGAGUUUAUAUUUGAUCCUGUAAAAUGGCCGAGGGGGCAAAUGGAUGAGGAUUUUCAAAAGAUCGCCAAAAAAUUCUGUGCUGUGAGCUCAGUUGUACGUGUGCCCUCUAUAGACCCCAAGUAUAAGAUAGCUCUUCUUGUUUCGAAACAGGAUCACUGUCUGGUUGAGAUGUUGCAUAAUUGGCAGGAUGGAAAAGUCCCUGUUGAUAUAACUUGCGUGAUAAGUAAUCAUGAAAGAGCUCCAAACACCCAUGUCAUGCGGUUUCUGGAAAGGCAUGGUAUCUCGUAUCAUUAUUUUCCAACAACCAAAGAGAAUAAAAGAGAAGAGGAGAUUUUGGAAUUGGUGAAGGAUACUGAUUUCCUUGUUCUCGCCCGGUACAUGCAGGUACUGUCCGGAAAUUUUUUGAAAAGCUACGGGAAGGAAGUCAUCAACAUCCACCAUGGCCUCUUGCCAUCAUUCAAGGGUGGAAAUCCUGCAAGACAGGCAUUUGAUGCAGGUGUGAAGCUAAUCGGUGCUACAAGUCACUUUGUCACGGAGGAACUUGAUUCAGGGCCUAUCAUUGAACAAAUGGUUGAGAGAGUUUCUCACAGAGACAAUCUAAGGAGCUUUGUCCAGAAAUCUGAGGACCUUGAGAAAAAAUGCCUCACAAAAGCUAUAAAAUCAUACUGCGAACUGCGAGUAUUACCUUAUGGCACAAACAAGACGGUUGUAUUCUGAAUACACAUGUGGCUGAGAAGCUUCAACACGCCUGUCAUCUGAUUAUUUACCUGAACAUUCAUGGGAAGAAUGCAAUACCAGUUACCUCAAAAUUCUGGAGAUAUAUAGAUAUAUACAGGAAACAACAACAUCACACACGAUCACUGAGGCUAAGAGAGUCAAGAGAGCAUUUUGGAGG